This 84-nucleotide transfer RNA is filed under the name Planctomycetaceae bacterium. Its description in RNAcentral is "tRNA-Leu". It matches the Rfam family "tRNA". From Rfam's summary of the family: Transfer RNA (tRNA) molecules are approximately 80 nucleotides in length. Lineage: Bacteria; Pseudomonadati; Planctomycetota; Planctomycetia; Planctomycetales; Planctomycetaceae. The record is from RNAcentral.
GGCCUCGUGGCGGAAUGGCAGACGCGGGGGAUUCAAAAUCCCUUGUCCGUAAAGGACGUGCGAGUUCGACUCUCGCCGAGGCCA